This 73-nucleotide transfer RNA is filed under the name Russula griseocarnosa. RNAcentral describes it as "tRNA-Arg". It matches the Rfam family "tRNA". From Rfam's summary of the family: Transfer RNA (tRNA) molecules are approximately 80 nucleotides in length. The record is from RNAcentral. Lineage: Eukaryota; Fungi; Basidiomycota; Agaricomycetes; Russulales; Russulaceae.
ACAUCUUUAGCUGAAUGGAGAAAGCGUUUGCCUUCGAAGCAAUUAGAUAUUGGUUCAAAUCCAAUAAGAUGUC